Molecule: ribosomal RNA, 475 nt
Filed under: uncultured organism
Description: partial 16S ribosomal RNA
Rfam family: Bacterial small subunit ribosomal RNA
Source: RNAcentral
UACACUCCUACGGGAGGCAGCAGUGGGGAAUUUUGGACAAUGGGCGAAAGCCUGAUCCAGCAAUGCCGCGUGCAGGAUGAAGGCCUUCGGGUUGUAAACUGCUUUUGUACGGAACGAAAAAGCUCCUUCUAAUACAGGGGGCCCAUGACGGUACCGUAAGAAUAAGCACCGGCUAACUACGUGCCAGCAGCCGCGGUAAUACGUAGGGUGCGAGCGUUAAUCGGAAUUACUGGGCGUAAAGCGUGCGCAGGCGGUUAUGUAAGACAGAUGUGAAAUCCCCGGGCUCAACCUGGGAACUGCAUUUGUGACUGCAUGGCUAGAGUACGGUAGAGGGGGAUGGAAUUCCGCGUGUAGCAGUGAAAUGCGUAGAUAUGCGGAGGAACACCGAUGGCGAAGGCAAUCCCCUGGACCUGUACUGACGCUCAUGCACGAAAGCGUGGGGAGCAAACAGGAUUAGAAACCCUGGUAGUCCCAU